RNAcentral lists this ribosomal RNA (615 nucleotides) under uncultured marine bacterium. RNAcentral's name for it is "bacterial SSU rRNA". It matches the Rfam family "Bacterial small subunit ribosomal RNA", at positions 324 to 957 of the family's 1533-position model. The record is from RNAcentral.
ACACGGCCCAGACUCCUACGGGAGGCAGCAGUUGGGAAUCUUAGACAAUGGGGGCAACCCUGAUCUAGCCAUGCCGCGUGAGUGAUGAAGGCCUUAGGGUCGUAAAGCUCUUUCGCCUGUGAUGAUAAUGACAGUAGCAGGUAAAGAAACCCCGGCUAACUCCGUGCCAGCAGCCGCGGUAAUACGGAGGGGGUUAGCGUUGUUCGGAAUUACUGGGCGUAAAGCGCGCGUAGGCGGACUAGAAAGUUGGGGGUGAAAUCCCGGGGCUCAACCUCGGAACUGCCUCCAAAACUGCUAGUCUAGAGUUCGAGAGAGGUGAGUGGAAUUCCGAGUGUAGAGGUGAAAUUCGUAGAUAUUCGGAGGAACACCAGUGGCGAAGGCGGCUCACUGGCUCGAUACUGACGCUGAGGUGCGAAAGUGUGGGGAGCAAACAGGAUUAGAUACCCUGGUAGUCCACACCGUAAACGAUGAAUGCCAGUCGUCGGGUAGUAUACUAUUCGGUGACACACCUAACGGAUUAAGCAUUCCGCCUGGGGAGUACGGUCGCAAGAUUAAAACUCAAAGGAAUUGACGGGGGCCCCCACAAGCGGUGGACCAUCUGGUUUAAUUCGAAGC